This 107-nucleotide non-coding RNA is filed under the name Nocardioides sp. Its description in RNAcentral is "TPP sequence". It matches the Rfam family "TPP riboswitch aptamer (THI element)". Rfam says of the family: Vitamin B(1) in its active form thiamin pyrophosphate (TPP) is an essential coenzyme that is synthesised by coupling of pyrimidine and thiazole moieties in bacteria. The record is from RNAcentral. Lineage: Bacteria; Bacillati; Actinomycetota; Actinomycetes; Propionibacteriales; Nocardioidaceae.
GUACACAGACAGGGGAGCACGCCAGCGUGCUGAGAGUGCGGGAGACCGCAGACCCUCCGAACCUGAUCCGGUUAGCACCGGCGAUAGGGAGUCCACGAUGAAGAUCG